This 495-nucleotide ribosomal RNA is filed under the name uncultured bacterium. RNAcentral's name for it is "partial 16S ribosomal RNA". It matches the Rfam family "Bacterial small subunit ribosomal RNA", at positions 28 to 507 of the family's 1533-position model. The record is from RNAcentral.
GACGAACGCUGGCGGCGUGCCUAAUACAUGCAAGUAGAACGCUGAAGGAGGAGCUUGCUUCUCUGGAUGAGUUGCGAACGGGUGAGUAACGCGUAGGUAACCUGCCUGGUAGCGGGGGAUAACUAUUGGAAACGAUAGCUAAUACCGCAUAAUAGCAGUUGUUGCAUGACAACUGUUUGAAAGGUGCAAUUGCACCACUACCAGAUGGACCUGCGUUGUAUUAGCUAGUUGGUGGGGUAACGGCUCACCAAGGCGACGAUACAUAGCCGACCUGAGAGGGGGAUCGGCCACACUGGGACUGAGACACGGCCCAGACUCCUACGGGAGGCAGCAGUAGGGAAUCUUCGGCAAUGGACGGAAAUCUGACCGAGGAACGCCGCGGGAGUGAAGAAGGGUUUCGGAUCGUAAAGCUCGGUUGUAAGAGAAGAACGAGUGUGAGAGUGGAAAGUUCACACUGUGACGGUAUCUUACCAGAAAGGGACGGCUAACUACGUG